Molecule: ribosomal RNA, 457 nt
Filed under: uncultured bacterium
Lineage: Bacteria
Description: partial 16S ribosomal RNA
Rfam family: Bacterial small subunit ribosomal RNA
Source: RNAcentral
CCUACGGGAGGCUGCAGUGGGGAAUAUUGCACAAUGGGGGAAACCCUGAUGCAGCGACGCCGCGUGAGUGAAGAAGUAUUUCGGUACGUAAAGCUCUAUCAGCAGGGAAGAAAAAAAGUCCUUUGGACUUUGGACGGUACCUGACCAAGAAGCCCCGGCUAACUACGUGCCAGCAGCCGCGGUAAUACGUAGGGGGCAAGCGUUAUCCGGAGUUACGGGGUGUAAAGGGAGCGUAGACGGUGCGCCAAGGCUGGAGUGAAAUGCCGCAGCUUAACUGCGGAACUGCUUUGGAAACUGGCGAACUAGAGUGCGGGAGGGGUAAGCGGAAUUCCUAGUGUAGCGGUGAAAUGCGUAGAUAUUAGGAGGAACACCGGUGGCGAAGGCGGCUUACUGGACCGUAACUGACGUUGAGGCUCGAAAGCGUGGGGAGCAAACAGGAUUAGAUACCCCUGUAGUC